AGCCGAUCGUCGCCCGCGGAUCGUCAUCAGUCACUGGUUUAGCGUAAAGGAGACCGCGUCGAUCGUCAACCCGUCAACUUUUCCGCCGGACGAUCGACCUCAAGAAGAAGUUUUGUUCGAGGAAUCUCUGUGGUGAAAACCGUCUCACCAGUGAGGAAGAACAAGGCGUGGAAUAAUAACCGCACUGGAGUGCGAGGUGCCGCGACACCGUAAAUUGGUCGUGGUGGAGAGUGAGGUGGCGUCUACGUUCAGCAUGGAUAGCAUGGCCAUGCUGGAGUAGUUAGGAGUACUUGAGAUCGGCCUUCAUUUCCUGUUUCGCAAGCUAAAUUCCAUCAUGGCUGGAGACGUGGUGUUGAGCAGUGCGCUGCUGUGCAUUCCUGCCGACUGGACGGCGGGGCAAAUGCACCGGAUGGCCGGCGUUCUCGCCGGUGACCAAGCUGGGUUCUGCCCGGGCAGCAACAUUGUUCCGGAUCGUCGAGGGAUACACGGGGGUCACACACACACACAGGUUUACACCCGCAACUCUAGUUUUAAGGACGCCAACUAGGUUUAGUUCGCCAAUAUAGAUGUAAGUACGCUAAAA
Molecule: long non-coding RNA, 583 nt
Organism: Culex quinquefasciatus (southern house mosquito)
Lineage: Eukaryota; Metazoa; Arthropoda; Insecta; Diptera; Culicidae
Exons: 4
Source: RefSeq, a predicted model, not a curated record